AUUGAACGCUGGCGGCAUGCCUUACACAUGCAAGUCGAACGGUAACAGGUCUUCGGAUGCUGACGAGUGGCGAACGGGUGAGUAAUACAUCGGAACGUGCCUAGUAGUGGGGGAUAACUACUCGAAAGAGUGGCUAAUACCGCAUACGACCUGAGGGUGAAAGCGGGGGAUCGCAAGACCUCGCGCAAUUGGAGCGGCCGAUAUCAGAUUAGGUAGUUGGUGGGGUAAAGGCUCACCAAGCCAACGAUCUGUAGCUGGUUUGAGAGGACGACCAGCCACACUGGGACUGAGACACGGCCCAGACUCCUACGGGAGGCAGCAGUGGGGAAUCUUGGACAAUGGACGCAAGUCUGAUCCAGCCAUGCCGCGUGCGGGAAGAAGGCCUUCGGGUUGUAAACCGCUUUUGUCAGGGAAGAAACGCUCUGGGUUAAUACCUCGGGGUAAUGACGGUACCUGAAGAAUAAGCACCGGCUAACUACGUGCCAGCCGCCGCCGUAA
RNAcentral lists this ribosomal RNA (498 nucleotides) under uncultured bacterium. RNAcentral describes it as "partial 16S ribosomal RNA". It matches the Rfam family "Bacterial small subunit ribosomal RNA", at positions 30 to 523 of the family's 1533-position model. The record is from RNAcentral.